UACGGAGGGCGCAAGCGUUGUUCGGAAUCAUUGGGCGUAAAGCGCGUGUAGGCGGUCGCGUAAGUCGGGUGUGAAAUCCCGGGGCUCAACCCCGGAACUGCAUUCGAAACUGCGUGGCUAGAGUCCCGGAGAGGGUGGUGGAAUUCCCAGUGUAGAGGUGAAAUUCGUAGAUAUUGGGAAGAACACUGGAGGCGAAGGCGGCCACCUGGACGGUGACUGACGCUGAGACGCGAAAGCGUGAGGAGCAAACAGG
This 253-nucleotide ribosomal RNA is filed under the name uncultured bacterium. RNAcentral describes it as "partial 16S ribosomal RNA". It matches the Rfam family "Bacterial small subunit ribosomal RNA", at positions 524 to 776 of the family's 1533-position model. The record is from RNAcentral.